This 460-nucleotide ribosomal RNA is filed under the name uncultured bacterium. RNAcentral's name for it is "partial 16S ribosomal RNA". It matches the Rfam family "Bacterial small subunit ribosomal RNA", at positions 338 to 795 of the family's 1533-position model. The record is from RNAcentral.
CCUACGGGGUGCAGCAGUGAGGAAUAUUGGUCAAUGGACGAGAGUCUGAACCAGCCAAGUAGCGUGAAGGAUGACUGCCCUAUGGGUUGUAAACUUCUUUUAUAUGGGAAUAAAAUGUUCCACGUGUGGGAUUUUGUAUGUACCAUAUGAAUAAGGAUCGGCUAACUCCGUGCCAGCAGCCGCGGUAAUACGGAGGAUCCGAGCGUUAUCCGGGUUUAUUGGGUUUAAAGGGAGCGUAGGUGGAUUGUUAAGUCAGUUGUGAAAGUUUGCGGCUCAACCGUAAAAUUGCAGUUGAAACUGGCAGUCUUGAGUACAGUAGAGGUGGGCGGAAUUCGUGGUGUAGCGGUGAAAUGCUUAGAUAUCACGAAGAACUCCGAUUGCGAAGGCAGUUCACUGGACUGCAACUGACACUGAGGCUCGAAAGUGUGGGUAUCAAACAGGAUUAGAUACCCGAGUAGUC